This 468-nucleotide ribosomal RNA is filed under the name uncultured bacterium. RNAcentral describes it as "partial 16S ribosomal RNA". It matches the Rfam family "Bacterial small subunit ribosomal RNA", at positions 28 to 507 of the family's 1533-position model. The record is from RNAcentral.
GACGAACGCUGGCGGCGUGCUUAACACAUGCAAGUCGAACGGAAAGGCCCUGCUUUUGUGGGGUGCUCGAGUGGCGAACGGGUGAGUAACACGUGAGUAACCUGCCCUUGACUUUGGGAUAACUUCAGGAAACUGGGGCUAAUACCGGAUAGGAGCUCCUGCUGCAUGGUGGUGGUUGGAAAGUUUCGGCGGUUGGGGAUCGACUCGCGGCUUAUCAGCUUGUUGGUGGGGUAGUGGAUUACCAAGGCUUUGACGGGUAGCCGGCCUGAGAGGGUGACCGGCAACAUUGGGACUGAGAUACGGCCCAGACUCCUAAGGGAGGCAGCAGUGGGGAAUAUUGCACGAUGGGCGGAAGCCUGAUGCAGCAACGCCGCGUGAGGGAUGACGGCCUUCGGGUUGUAAACCGCUUUCGCCUGUGACGAAGCGUGAGUGACGGUAAUGGGUAAAGAAGCACCGGCUAACUACGUG